Molecule: long non-coding RNA, 10270 nt
Organism: Rhineura floridana
Lineage: Eukaryota; Metazoa; Chordata; Lepidosauria; Squamata; Rhineuridae
Exons: 4
Source: RefSeq, a predicted model, not a curated record
CUGCUGCUGGAUGUGGACGACGAGGAUCAGAGUGGAACGCAGCGCGGUGAAACGGCAGCGGCUAUUCUGUUAAGGCCGCACAGUCGGUGCCAUUUUAGGCGCUUGGUUUCUGCGGCACACAGGCCUCAUUAGGGGCCGAUUUCAGCUGCUUUGCUUCCCCAUGGGGGGGGCGGAGCCAGUUCCGGCUUGGGGGUGCUGGAGAAGGAGCGGCUGCAGCUGGAGCAGGCCUCGUGAAAGAGGCCUACAAGGCUUGACGGGGAUGGAACUCACUCGCCCCCUGCUGGCUUGAGGUUUCUGUUUCACGGCUGCUUUUAGCAGCCGGUUUAAGCAAGAUCAUAACAAUCCCCCCAACGGCUGGCUUGAGGCUUCUGCCUUCAUGGCUGCUUGUAACAGCUAGUUUAAGCAAGAUCACACCUUUAGGGGCAGUGACUCAUACUUUUACAGUAAUUAACUUAAUAUUGUUCCUCACAUAGACGGAUAUGUGCAACAGGGAGAUAGGAGGCAAGAGGCCUUCAAAAGGGGGCAGCGCAACUUCAGCCUGGAAGAAAGGGAAAAACGAUUGAAAUGAAAAUUCAAGGAAGAACUUGUCCAAGCUGUAUUCACUCCGGAAUUCACAACCGGAGACAGUGCUAGCACAGGGGAUGGUUGGACGCGGCGAGUUCCGAAGGGCUUCUGAAGAGAGGAGGUUCCGCACCGGCAAUCGCCAGAGGCAGUGUAGCAAGUAUGCCGCCAUCUUGGGGUGUGCUCUGUGCUCAUCUAAAAACUCCGGCUACAAAAGGCAUCCGAUCAGCGCCGUUCCGGAGAAACGCGGUUCUUCUCUUUAUUCAUCCCUUUGGUCUCUUUCAGAAUCGUGUUUGUUGGUGGGCUGGAGCCUACGCAAUAUGAUUCAGAAAUCUACAGAGGAACUGGAUUGUACACAGUUGUUGAUAGGAUAUCUGCUUUAAAGCACCUUGUGUUUCACAGUCUGAGGUUCUCAGUUUUAAAUUGUAUUUCAGUUUUUUAAAUUGACGUGCUAGAGUUUUUAUUGUUUUAUAUUAAAGUUUUGUUUUAUUUUAUUUUAUAUUUGGUUUGUCAGCCUUCCAGAGAAACUCUUGUUUUGAGGUGGCUAUAUAAAUGAAUAUUAUAGUUUUAUGUAUACACACAAAUUGAUUUUUAAUUUUAAAAAAUCCCUCUGAAUUCUGCUCAAAAUCAUAACAUUGUCCUAAGAAUUAAAAGUAUUAGGACAAUCUGAAUAUAUAUUUAUAUUUUGUUUUUGAGUGUUACUUGCAAGGGUCAGAGUAACGUUUCAAAGCAUUCCUGUGCAAUUUUCAAAGUUGGAGGCGUGCAGCCCAGUCGCCAAUGUAUUUGCUCAGAAGGAAGUCCCACUAUGUUAGGUGGAGUUUACUCCCAGUAGCAGUACACCUUAUUUAGGAGUAAGCCUAAUUAAACUCACUGGGAUUUACUUCUGAGUAAACAGGAUUUGGACUGAAAACAACAGUAACAGACGGAAUCUGCAUGUCUGUUGGUUUCAGAUGCCAGAGGGGUGAAGUUUGCAGUCCUAAAUGCACGAGGGAGUGAGCCUCAUUGCACACAGAAAGAAUACUAUUAAUUCAUAAACAGAGCAAAUGUUCAUGUUCAACUCUAAACUAAUACGUUUGUAUUCAAGAACUUUGUUUCAAAGUCUAUUACACCUUAAAAUUUUGGUAAAACAUCUCACAUAAAAUUUAAUGUUUUUUUAAAAUCUAGUUCCUAGGUAGGAGGAAAUGCUUCAUCAGAAGAAAAUUCUGGUAUCAGGUUGCAAAUCAGAAUACUGAUACAUUUUAACUAAUCAUUUUGGAGGGGAGCAAAAUAAUCAAAUUUUAUUUUUGAAACUUGGAAGUUUUUCCCUUGCAGUAAAUAUUCAGGGUCCAGGACAUAAGUGGAAAGGAUCAUUAAUGGUGUCAAAGUUGCUAGAUGUAUAUUCAUUAUUUUACAGCACUUCCCUUAUACACAAUAUUUGCUAGAUCCAAUUAACAUUGUUAAGGAUCUUGGCUUUGACAAUAUUCCACCUUUGUUGUAGUUUGGAGAAAAGGCCACAAGUUUUUCAAAAUUCUCUUGUGGCUUUGAAAUGUUGAUCUAGCAAUAUUUGCAGGUGAUGGGGUGAUGCUGUUGCAGCAUAAUACUGGAUUAUGUUGCUGUGCAUUAAUUUUCCUGUAGAUGAUUAGCUCAAAGUUGCAUAGUGAUCCCGUAACGUUACUGCAGCAUUUUUCAGUAAUAGCCUAAACCAAACCCAAUGUGCCGAUGUAAAAGAACGAGUUCUUUAAAGCCAGAAACAGGCCAUGCAUCUGUAGAUUCAUUUACAGACUAAGUUUUGAGAGGAUGCUCAGGUAGAACACUUGAAAGAUGAUUGUUCUCACCUUUAGACAGCUAGCAGUGCAAGCCAAUGUAUGUUUAUGCAGAAGUAACCCCUACAGUGUUGUUUUACUGUUCUCUGUGUGCUUUUUUGAGUUCAGGGCUUCCAGGUGCACACAUCAGCUACAGAUACACAUAUUUAUGCAUAACUGGGUAAAUGGUCCCAAUAGCCUUCAAGUGGGUACUCUGCAAAAUUGCUGCGGUUUGUCAGCCACUAAUUUAUAGGAGCAGGACUGUCAUACGACCCAGGAAUUUUAGCAAGCCAUCUGGGGUCCACAUUAAUGCUUGCGGGCCUCCUGUCACACACAAUGUAAAUUAACACAUUCAGGGAAAGGACACUAGGAACAUUGGAAACUGCCUUAGGCCAUUGGUCCAUCAUGCUCAGUAUUGUCUAUGCUGACUAGCAGGGUUUUCCAGGGUUUAAAGCAGGAGUCUCUCUUAGCCAUGGCUGACACCAGGCAUAUUUAGGCCCUUGGGUGCCAGCCUGCCCCAGGCCUGCAGUUCCCCCCUGACUGUACAGGCCUGCGGCCCUCUCCCACUCCACCUACCUUUUCUUUUUCUGAAUGCCCUGUGCGGUGCCCUACACUGUCUGCACACACAUGCCUGCCAUCAACCCAGAAGUCUCCGCUACCAUCUUGGUUGAUGGCAGCUGCGUGCACAGCACACAGGGCAUUCACAGAAAGGGAGGAGAGGUAGGUGGAGCAGGCGGGUGCUGCGGGCCCACACGGUCUUUAGAGAGGGCUGGGAGAUCCCUCUCCGCAAUCUGCCGCUUGGUCGGGAGUCAAUAUUGUACAAUUCUCAACUGAGCCCAGAACAGAUAUAGAUAGCGGUGGUUACUGGUAAAUGAAACAGAUGAUAAUGGUGAGUCACUAAGAUACAGCAUGGGGGACAUGACAAUUCAGGUGAAAGGAUUUUGGCAGCAAAGAUGCAAACAAUGUGGCAUAUUGAAGUUUGCCGGCGAGGGGUAUUUUUAGCCCAGCCAAGAAGAGGAAGACCCUCAAGGUGGCAAACCAGCAAACAGCAGAGAGUAGAGAAUGUGAGAAAAUUUUAUUGCAGUGGUUUGGGUGUUGGCACAACCCUUUGUCAAGGGCAAUCCUGAACAAAUAACAAGCUGGUUUCUCAUCAAUAUAACAAACUGAAUUCUUGAAAGCAGCUGGCUCUUAAAGGAAGAGAGAUAAAGAGCACACCCCAGCUGCUUUUUCUUUUUGUAACUGCCACCAAAAUUGGUGAGGUCUUUGGGGUACAGAGCAGAGUCCUGAAUUGGGGGCUCCCCCCCCCUGCAAUAACUGAGACAUGUGCCAGGGCCAAAAGACUUCUUCCCAUAGCCUGAUUGGGGCUUCUGUGUCACUUGGGGGAAGAGUGGGGGGGGGAGAGAGGAAGGAACUCUGGGUGAUUUAUUUCAGGCCCAACACAUUUUGGAAUAACUCACCUUUGGGGCAAGUUUUGAAUAGCAAUUCACAUCAAGUGCAUACACAUACAUUUGGCCAGAAAUAAAUAUUUCUUCAUGCAUCUGGAGUUUCUUCCUCUCUAUUUUCCUGUGAGUGGUGCUUUCCCAGUUUUGUGGUAAUUUUACUGCUUGUGCUCUAAGAGCAGGAAGGGCCAUGCUUGUAGUGCAAGGGAAGGAUCUGUAAACGCUUGCAGGUUAUAUAACUGAUGACACAUACAGGUAAUGUUGCCAUAUUCCAGUUCCACGUAUCUGGGCAGGCUAGUCUGCAUACGAUGCAAAUUAUUUUCUAAUUACGCAAAUUAAUAAUAUUAAAGGUUGCAUUGUCCAGUUUUGUUUUUGUGCCUAGAAAUUACCACCAAAACUGCAGGAGGAUGUGAGCAAUUAAAAAAAACACCUUACAUUUUCAGCCUUAAAUGCCUAGACUCUAUAGAAUAUUUAUUAUGAGAAUGUAUAUCCUGUCCUUCCACUGUUAAAGACAAUGCUCAGGGCAGCUUAUAAACACAAUAAAAACAAUAAAAAUAUACAAUCAAUGUAAAAACAUAAAAAACAAACAUAAAACAAGUCAAUGCAGCUGUAUCAAAAUCCAGCAUAAACAAAAGCCAGCAAAGCAUCCCUUAAAAGCAAUAUUGUGACACUGAGAUUGCCUGUACCAACAAUUAGAAAAUGUGAAAUGAACACACCACUACAAAAUGUAAUUCAGAUAAAAAUCAAGAUUCAGUAUUAUCAGUUCAGUGAUCUUGUCUAAAGAGAGUGGUGUCUGAGCAUGUCUUUAGUACAUUGAUUCUCACAUACCAGAUCAGGGAAAGGGGAAACAUAGCCUUGGUGGAUACUUGAGUGCUGGUGUAUCUUUUUUUUUUUAAUGCUGUGAAUUCUAGAGACUUGUCAAGCUGUGCUGGCAUUAGACAGGGCAGCUGUUCCAUUCCUAUUGGUCUUAACAGAGGGGUGGAAGCCAUUCCUUUGGUCUUAAGGGGGGGGGAAGAGUACACCCUCCCACUGCACUGAAUAUAUAUAUUCUCUCUGUGCAUGUGUAUAUAUAUAUACAUGGGUGUACACACACACACACACAAUCCAUAUAUCCAUCCAUCCCUGGGGAGGAAAUGGAGGGUGAUCUUUGGUGGGGAGAUGCCUGCCAUUCAUUUUGAAGAAGGGUACGUAUUAAAAAUACUUUUUAGCCUUUUUUGAACUGCUGAACAGGCUCUGCUGGACAGCAAAGUGAGUGAGGCUGCAUUCCAAUGCAACAUUACUUGGGAGUAAGAACCAGUUAACAGGGUAAGGGUAGGGCAAAAAUGCAAAUACUAAUACCUCAGCCUUUUCUACCGAGGUUUGCUUUUAUAUCUUGUAUUUGUUUAGGGGAGGAAGUGUUUGGUGUAUUAAAGCCCCUUUAUUCCAUCCUCCACAAUGGCAGGCUCAUUCACCACUUAAGACACAUACCCCGAGCCACAGAGGCAAUUGAAAUGAAGGCUGCUUCUCCUUGCUGACGGGGCAGAGCUGCACAUGUUGAUCAAGUAAGCAUGUCCAAUUUUCUAAACUGCUUAGAUUCUGCAUAUGCAGUAAACAAAAAUUCUUGAUUUUCUCAGGACAGCUGUGGUGUCCCUCAUUGGCUAAGAACAAUGGAAGGAGUAGGCUGAUUUCUCACAAAAUGGGGAGAAAACUGCCUCCAUGUUUUGCCUUGUAUCUCUGGAUCCACAAGGGCUAGAGACUUGCUUUUUAAAAAAUGAAUGGUGGGGAUCUGGGCCACCUAAUGGGCCAAGCAGGCACCAGGCAGCAUGGUUAGAAGCUGGGUAACUCUGGAAGAAACUGGGUUCUUUAAUAACAAUCUAGAUAUGAAGCAAACAAGCAGCUUAAUCACUCAGCAAGUGCAAAUUAAUUCUAACAAGUUUGUUCAUCUCUUAAGUUCAACUGAUGUCAAGUUUUCAUUUUAUGUUGAGCAGGGGUAGGGAACUUCUAAGCCCAGGGACUGAAUGCAGCUCGCUAGGCCUCUCAAGACUGUUCUGAAGCCACACCCACUCUCCCAGUCUGCCCCUCACCACCUGCUCUGUACCCUCCUCAAAUGCUUUUACCUGACUGGAAACAGUUAAAGGACAGUAAUCAUGCCCCUUGCUUGCCCGGAUGGAGGUAUGUAUAGAUUUAAGUCAUGGCUGGAAUGUAGCUUAUUGUAUGAAGUUGAGUCCCAUCCGUUGCUCCACCCACCAAAGAUAUGUGGCCCCCAGGCAGAAAAAGCUUCCCCACUUCUGAUGUUGAUGAUCAAGCUGAUGAGUAAUAUGUCAAGAAGCCUUAAGAUGGAUAUACACUACAGAAGCAGGAAGUGUAUUUUAUUUUUUAGUGGAAUGACUAGUUCCCUAGAUUUUGUAUAUAAUAAAGCCAGUAUUAUUUCUGGUUGAAGAAAUGAUACUCUCAGCAUUUUGCUGAACUGACAAUAUGUUGCAGCUGUUCCUUUGUUAAGGCAAGUGUUAUUAUCUUGUCAUUUGCAUGAGUAGUUGCUUUGGAGCAUGUUAAAAAAAAAUCAAAACUGACAUUUGCAAGGAUGUAAGAAAAUGUUUGAUUACUGGAGCAUUCAUAAUGUUCACGUGUGUAAAAGAUUGCUUUUUAAUAACAGAGUGACACUUUGUCCCACAGAUACAGGAAGUAUCUGUUACGUAAUAAGUAACAGAAACAGUACAUCAAUUCUGGUGGGUUUCCUCCACUUUCUGUCAUGCCUAAAGCAUUUUCCUGACCUAAUGAAGUUGAGAAUUCAAAGCAGCAAGCCAAUUUCUGGAACGCAAAGAAAUAAACACAAGAUAUUUCAGGGUUCAGAAUACAGGUGUUUCUUUUUUAUUUAUGAACAGAAUAAAAUAUUUUUAAAUAUAUUAAUUUUAAGUAUACUACACUUAAACUGGGAUGCUGGCUUGCACAUUAACAGUGUUCAAAACCAAAAAUGAUUGCAAUGGCCCCCUCCUAUCCCAAAUACUGAUGCAACAAACAGAUGACUUGAGAACAAAUAUCCGUUCAAAAGUCCCUUAGUAAAAAGGUAAUAAAGGAAAGUUAAUCAAAACAUCAGUAGCCAUCAUGGCAGCAACAUAGAGCAAAAUAAUGCUCUGAGAAAACCAACUUCCUUUGUUAUUUUUUUCCAGAUAACUUGAUUUUUCACUGUAAGGCAUGAAGGUUUGUCAUUAUGGUUACCAGAAUGGUAGCCAUAAUCAUGUCUAUGGCUCCUAAUACUUCAAAGUUUGGGCCACAUCAAGUGUACAAAAGAAGUUUUGGCAUUAAAUAGUAGAGGAAGAACCUUUCCAGAAACAAGAGCCCUUGGAAAGGCUAACUUGAAAAUACUUUCACACAUUACAAAAGUGACUUCAAUUGUGCGUUUCCCAUGGCACAAAUCUAGCAAACACAUAAUGAGAUGACAAUCUAGUGUUAGAGAACUGGAAAUGCUCAUUCCAUUUGACUUAUCCAUUGACUUUCCACACAAUUGGCUUCUUACCCUGUAUUUACUGAGUUCACAAAAUUGCCUUCAGGUGAAAGCCAGGUAUACCAACAUGAAAUGUAAAAAGCUUGGCAAGAGGCAGAAACGGUGGCAGCCAUUUGCAAGGAGCCAUGGUCCUCAAGCCACUUUAUCAGGAUUGGUGAUAAUGAUUACUGCAAAGAAAGUGAUUUGAGAAUCACAGUCGAUUAAGGAUCACAGAGAAGGAACAAUUUCUGAAAAUAAGAGAACAUGAAGGAAUAUGUGGAAAAUAAUCAGAAGGCAGACUGAAAUCUCAUUUACAUUUCAAAGAAACAUCACAGACUUUGGGUUUUAUUCAGAUACAGCAAAACAAGAAACUGGUCAAAAAUUUCUUCAAGUAUAAUACUGCUUGGUAAGUUAAUAAUCAUUGCUACUAUUGUUCCCCCACAGGUGAGAACUCUGGUAUGUGUACUGUAAGCUUAGUGAAAUAUAAUACUGCUUAUCUUCAUAUAUGCAGGUGAACCUAACUAAAUAUCACUUACUAGUUAAUGUCUAAAAAAGCCAAAAUUUGCAUUUCUGUGAAAUGGAUACUGACGAUUCCUGAGACUGGAAAGGCCUUUUCUGUGUAAAUAUGUGGUAUGCAAGCUGAAUGUAUACAUGGAGUAAAAGAGCCUUUGGAAAAGGUGGCUUGGAAAUUGAAGUGUAACUAACAAGUGAAUGUGUGGAAUAGUGUGAUAGACAACAUUAUUUGUGAUGACAACUGAACUUGGUGUUUUGCUGAUUUUACUCCUACUUACAUGAGUAAUCAGUUUUGCAAGACCAUGCAAAUCAUGUCUUAGGAGCCAGCCACAAAAGACAAUAAGGAAAACCACUUGAUCAGCAAGGCAUGGAAAACCAACACCCAAACGAAGACGAGAGUGUCUCUCCAAGCCAAUAAUAGCACUUCUUGUUUGGCUUCUCGGAAAGCCCAGGUUAAAUAAGUGAAGUGAUAACUAAGUUGCUAAAAUAAAAAUACUGGAGGAAGUGUAAAACCUAUGCUCACUCUGUUGUACAUUAUAUGAGUGGAACAAUUAGGUAUGCUUGAUGAAGACAUGACAGCAAUCUCUUCAAGUUUUUCCAGUUGCAAUGAGCUUGCAUUGUAAGUAUUGAAAAACCUGGCCAAUAAGAGGAUGGCUUAAACAGGAAGAACAAACUCCCUUUCACGAAAGAGAGAAGUCCAGUAAAAAGUCUUCUUGAUGCACCUGUGGCUUCUUCAUGGGAAGAAAGGGGUGUGGGUGGAAACAGAAAAGAAAUAUGCAUGUACUGAAGUUGCCUCGGGAUAUUGAUUUUUUUUUUAAACCUAUUAUGUUUUGGACAUUCCAGGGCAUUAUGAGAAAUCCAAGCUUGAUCCUAUGUUGUCUGAAGGAAACAGAUCAAACUGUGGUUGUGGGAGAAGGUGAGACUGUGGCUAGUUGGUCAAAUUUCCGGUCUGUAAUCUCUGGCUGCCGUAGUGAUGUGAAGGGAUUCCAUAUGAAAUAUUGGAUACCAACUACAACUAUAACAUAGAGCUUUUGCAGCACAUUCAGGGACCCAGGCAGCUUGGAGCAUUGACUUUAAAGAAUAUGAGGUGGGCUCUUCUGACUCUUGAAACACUCCAAGAGGUUCCCUUUCUGUGCAAGACAUCAACGUGGGAUGCUCCCAGGAUGGAGGCAGGAGGCCAAUAAUGCUUCCUGGGGCCGAAGAAGAGAACUCGGUGCUGAAUUUGUUUGUGGCAGAUGAAGUGAUGUAAAAGUGGUAGGAUUCACUUGCUGGUCUUCUUUUUCACCUUGGUGGCAUUGAUGUCUGCUUUUGUCUUCUGGAUUCGGGAGAAGAUCUCCUUAAACAGGGCUUUGUACUCUGGCUGACUCUGCUCUAGCCGCUUGUCUACAGCAUUCACAUGUUUGCUAAGGCUCUUUUCCAUUGUCUUGAGCUCGUCUAGCUCAUAACCCUCUCCCCGGAAGUCUCUAAAGGAGCUGUCGCGAGAGAUGGGGCGGGAGGUUUGGACACCGGCAUGGCGCACGCUGUCCUUGUGCUGUCGGCACUUGCUGAGGAGCUCCUCAUACUUUUCCAGCAGGGCAUGGUAUUGCUCAUCCACCUCCCUCAGGAUUGACAUUCCCCUUUUGCGUACAUUAUUGGCAUGGAGUGUAUAAUUGCCUUCAUGGCGGCUCACAGCAUCCUUGGUCACAAUGGCAUUCAGGGCUGUGUCACUACAGCUUUUCCGUACAGGGUGGUUUGGGGAAGCCGUCAUGGAUGAUUCAUGGUUUUUACUUCCAUCUUCCUCAGAUAAGUCAAUGUAGUCGGCUUCUGGGGCAUUGUUUAAUGGUUCUAGAAGUGCUUCUGAUAGGUUGUCCUCUCUACUGAGGAGAUACUUCUUGACUUGUUUCAUCUGCUGGAGUUCCAGUAACUCUCCUUCCAGCUCUUUAAUGCGCAGCUUGCAGCUCUCCAUCUCACACACCCGUUGUUCAAGGUCUGAGUACUCCUGGAUGACAGAUGUGUACUCUCUCUCUACCCUCUCCUUCCGCUGUUUCUCUUGGUUGACUUGAGACCUCAAGGAAUUUACCAUUGCUUGCAAUCGCUCAUUCUCUCGUUCCAAGGGCAAAUGACUGAACAUUGAAGAGCUGUGAAUCUGGAAUGCAUCUUCAUAUCUGAUAUCCAAAAAAUAACAGCAAAUUAAUAAUGAUAGAUUCCUAGGAUGGGUGGUAUACUAUAAAUACAGUGAGGUCAAUGGAAGAACUAUCUCCAUGUAACAACAGAACAGGGUUUGUUGGGUCCUAUGUAUGCACCCUCACACCCCAGUGGGAACAUACACCUGACCCCCUACCCUGAUGUGCUAUUUUUCUAUAAGCAGGGCUUUUUCCAUGGGAGUGUGCAAACAUGUGAUUCUCCUACCUGCAGUCUGGAUUCUGCUUAUCAUGAAUCUCAUAUUCAGAGGGUGAAACUAUGUGUAACUUUUUCACACACAGAGAUGCUGCUGCUAAUGCCUGUCCCUUUUCUAUAUUAAAGUGCAUCUAAAUGGG